RNAcentral lists this ribosomal RNA (622 nucleotides) under uncultured bacterium. RNAcentral describes it as "bacterial SSU rRNA". It matches the Rfam family "Bacterial small subunit ribosomal RNA", at positions 338 to 958 of the family's 1533-position model. The record is from RNAcentral.
CCUACGGGAGGCAGCAGUGGGGAAUUUUGGACAAUGGGCGCAAGCCUGAUCCAGCAAUGCCGCGUGAGUGAAGAAGGCCUUCGGGUUGUAAAGCUCUUUUGUCAGGGAAGAAACGGUGGAGGUUAAUACCUUCUGCUAAUGACGGUACCUGAAGAAUAAGCACCGGCUAACUACGUGCCAGCAGCCGCGGUAAUACGUAGGGUGCAAGCGUUAAUCGGAAUUACUGGGCGUAAAGCGUGCGCAGGCGGUUGUGCAAGACAGAUGUGAAAUCCCCGGGCUCAACCUGGGAAUUGCAUUUGUGACUGUACGGCUAGAGUGUGUCAGAGGGGGGUAGAAUUCCACGUGUAGCAGUGAAAUGCGUAGAGAUGUGGAGGAAUACCGAUGGCGAAGGCAGCCCCCUGGGAUAACACUGACGCUCAUGCACGAAAGCGUGGGGAGCAAACAGGAUUAGAUACCCUGGUAGUCCACGCCCUAAACGAUGUCUACUAGUUGUCGGGUCUUUAUUGACUUGGUAACGCAGCUAACGCGUGAAGUAGACCGCCUGGGGAGUACGGUCGCAAGAUUAAAAACUCAAAAGUAUAGUCGGACGAGAGAGAGCGACGACGACGACGAGGAGGAGGNG